AAGAGCCGUGAACCAGACAACACAAAUUUAACAACGAGGGAAGUGAGGAAGUUAUGUGAAGGAAAUCCAACUGUUUCAAAGUGAAUUCCCAAAAGGAAGUGAAGUUCACCAUGGGUCUCCCAUUGGCUGAUGAGGACCAGGACAGACAGGGCCAUAGUGAAGAAAAUGGUCAAGCUCGCCCAUUAUCAGGGAUCGAGUUCAAUCAAAUUAUUUCUGACCGACUACAGAGGACCCAUAAUGACGGUCGACGAAACUCUCUACCUCCAGGUAUCCUGGAACAUAUUGAUGUCAAAAGUGUAUGUGGCCAAAUACUACGUUUCAUGGGUGACGAACACUUUUCUAAAACUUGUGGCCGACACCUAAGGUGUAUGGGGGAUGAAAUUUCUCAUCUGUACUGGCUGAAGAAAACUGUGAUGGGUUCGCAACAAAAUGUAUCAGACCAAUUGCAUGAACACACAAUUUCACACAACUCGCAUUCAUUGCCUGAUUUACGAACCAUGAAGGUAGAACAAGAAGAAAAUUCGAGGAAUGGUAAUUAAAUUUAAUAUAGCAUAUGUGAUACAUUGGUAUAUGAUAAGAGAAGCUAAUGCUUCAAGGAAUAUUUAUUUCAAAUUAUUUAAUAGAAAUGUUUAUAGAGAAUAUUGUACAGCAAAUCAUCAGAUGAUUUCACAGUUUUAUAUACAGUAAAGUUAUAAAAGCUAAUGCACAACAGUGAUAAUUAUUCUAUUCCAAGUUCUAAGAACUUGAAAUAAAAUAAUCAAAUUUAUAAUGCUUGAAUGUUGGCAGAAGGAUGUAAUGUGUGUGUAUUAAUAGUUGUCAAUACAGUAUAGUCUGUGUGUGGUUUUACUGUGUAUUACUGGUACAGGUCACAAUUAAUUUUCUUGCGGGUAACUCCUUAUACAUAUGAUAAAGUAUAUUGUGUAGCCAACCUAAAUGAAAAUAAUUUGUGACCUAGAGAUCAUUUAAUUUUCAUGGCUGUCAUUAACGCAUGUCUCUGUUUAUAUCUGAUUAAAUGUAUAUGUAUGAAACAUCGUACUUAUAGAUUACCAGUAUCAGUACCACAUGAUCAGGGAUAAACAUAUGAUUACUUACCUGUUACUUACUAGGUGUAAAACUAACAUUCCACCCUGUCUUGGAUUUUCCUGUUGUUUUUGUCCUUGUUAACUUACUGGUCAGUUAUUUUUAUCAUAACUAGGUUGUUUUGUUUUUCUUUUAUUUGAAGUCUGCAAUAUGAAAUAUCUAUUUCUAUUAAUGUUAAAGAAUACAGCAUAUUUUUGAAUGGUUGUUGAUUGUAAAUUAUAAAUUUUUGGAUUAGGUUGUUAUUAUUUUUAAUCAAAUAGGGCAUGAGAUUUAAACUCUGUACAGCUUUGGUGUUUUAGACAUCUAUUUAUCUAUUUAUUAAGUUGCUGAUGAUAUUUAGAAUAUAAUCAAGUAUUGAUUUCCCCUAUAACUGAUUAUUUAUCUUAAUACUCACAUUUUAUAUACCCUAAGUUUAGACUUCCGCUCAUGAUGUAAACUGUCCCAACAUAAUGACGGGAAUUGAUUUACGAUCAGAGAGGUUUUUUUUUAGAUGUACACCUGUUCAUUUGAAUACCAGAGAUGAUACAAACAUUUAUCCUGGAGAAGCCCAGGGUGCUAUCAUAACUCAGUCAUGGGGUGGGCUUAUUACUGGACAAUAAGAUAACAUUUGAUUGUAAUUUAAUGUUUGGAAUAUUUCUUACAUGAAUUCAUUACUGGAUAAAUGGAGGGGGAAAAAACCAUCAUCAUUUUUGUCAAGUGAUGAAGAAGUGUGUUAUUAAGAUUAAAUUGAUUUUAAAAUGUUGGCUGAAGAACGGUCUAGAUAAGGAAUAUUUAUCAGAGAAGGACUGUUUAUGCAGAUCCUUAAUCUAGUGCCAUGUUAUAGUGUUUGGUGGUACAGAAUAAUUGUGUUACAUAGAGGUGUUAGACUCUUGUUUAGCAGUUAUGAUACUGAACCACUGUAAUAGGUUUAGGAUUUUCAUGUUGAACCACUGUUAUAGGGUUAGAACCUUGUUUAACAGUAUGGUACUGAACCACUGUAAUAGGGUUAGGACCUUGUUUAACAGUAUGAUACUGAACCACUGUAAUAGGGUUAGAACCUUGUUUAACAGUAUGGUACUGAACCACUGUAAUAGGGUUAGAACCUUGUUUAACAGUAUGGUACUGAACCACUGUAAUAGGGUUAGGACCUUGUUUAACAGUAUGAUACUGAACCACUGUAAUAGGAUUAGAACCUUGUUUAGCAGUAUGAUACUGAACCACUGUAAUAGGUUUAGGACCUUGUUUAGUAGUGUAUGAUACUGAACAUAUGUAAUGCUGUAAUUACAGAUGCUGGUUUUGUUUAAUCAAUAAAAGCAUCUAUCAUG
Ylistrum balloti is the source of this 2384-nucleotide long non-coding RNA. RefSeq lists it as uncharacterized. NCBI's taxonomy places the organism in Eukaryota, Metazoa, Mollusca, Bivalvia, Pectinida, Pectinidae. The record is from RefSeq and is a predicted model, not a curated record. The transcript is spliced from 2 exons.